AGUGAACGCUGGCGGUAGGCCUAACACAUGCAAGUCGAACGGCAGCACAGUAAGAGCUUGCUCUUACGGGUGGCGAGUGGCGGACGGGUGAGGAAUACAUCGGAAUCUACUUUUUCGUGGGGGAUAACGUAGGGAAACUUACGCUAAUACCGCAUACGACCUACGGGUGAAAGCAGGGGAUCUUCGGACCUUGCGCGAUUGAAUGAGCCGAUGUCGGAUUAGCUAGUUGGCGGGGUAAAGGCCCACCAAGGCGACGAUCCGUAGCUGGUCUGAGAGGAUGAUCAGCCACACUGGAACUGAGACGCGGUCCAGACUCCUACGGGAGGCAGCAGUGGGGAAUAUUGGACAAUGGGCGCAAGCCUGAUCCAGCCAUACCGCGUGGGUGAAUAAGGCCUUCGGGUUGUAAAGCCCUUUUGUUGGGAAAGAAAAGCAGCAGGUUAAUACCCCGCUGUUCUGACGGUACCCAAAGAAUAAGCACCGGCUAACUUCGUG
RNAcentral lists this ribosomal RNA (492 nucleotides) under uncultured bacterium. Its description in RNAcentral is "partial 16S ribosomal RNA". It matches the Rfam family "Bacterial small subunit ribosomal RNA", at positions 29 to 507 of the family's 1533-position model. The record is from RNAcentral.